AUUGAAUGCUGGCGGCAUGCCUUACACAUGCAAGUCGAACGGUAACAGGUCUUCGGAUGCUGACGAGUGGCGAACGGGUGAGUAAUACAUCGGAACGUGCCCGAUCGUGGGGAUGAGCUCGGCGAAAGCCGGAUUAAUACCGCAUACGAUCUACGGAUGAAAGCAGGGACCGCAAGGCCUUGCGCGAACGGAGCGGCCGAUGGCAGAUUAGGUAGUUGGUGGGGUAAGGCUCACCAAGCCGACGAUCUGUAGCUGGUCUGAGAGGACGACCAGCCACACUGGGACUGAGACACGGCCCAGACUCCUACGGGAGGCAGCAGUGGGGAAUUUUGGACAAUGGGCGCAAGCCUGAUCCAGCAAUGCCGCGUGCAGGAUGAAGGCCUCGGGUUGUAAACUGCUUUUUGUACGGAACGAAAAUGGCUCUGGUUAAUACCUGGGGCUCAUGACGGUACCGUAAGAAUAAGCACCGGCUAACUACGUGCCAGCAGCCGCGGUAAUACGUAGGGUGCGAGCGUUAAUCGGAAUUACUGGGCGUAAAGCGUGCGCAGGCGGUGAUGUAAGACAGUUGUG
Molecule: ribosomal RNA, 570 nt
Filed under: uncultured bacterium
Lineage: Bacteria
Description: bacterial SSU rRNA
Rfam family: Bacterial small subunit ribosomal RNA
Source: RNAcentral